GCGCCGCCAGCCGGGCGGCCGCGUCGGCGCCCUGCACCGGCGCCGGGUAGAUGAUCACGGGCACCUGCGGCGCGC
This 75-nucleotide transfer RNA is filed under the name Bordetella bronchiseptica. RNAcentral describes it as "tRNA-Cys(gca)". The record is from RNAcentral. Lineage: Bacteria; Pseudomonadati; Pseudomonadota; Betaproteobacteria; Burkholderiales; Alcaligenaceae. RNAcentral also lists the same sequence under 2 other names.